AUUGAUUAGAGGCACAUUAAAGUUCUCCCACUCCCUCUACGAUCUAAUUAACCCUCUCUAAUUAACCAUCACUUCUCUCCCUUCCUCCACACAACCUCAAUGUCGCAGCCCUAGCUUUGCCGUCGCAUUUCAGCCGCAUGUCGCCGCCGUUCCGCCGCUGCCGUUAACGAUCGCUCAAGCUGAGCGUAAAUCUGAUGAUGAUCGCCGGAGAAGCUCUGGAAUCAAACAUCACGGUGAUCGGACCGCUCGUUCUCCAAGCAAUUGCUCAUUGCACAUCCCCUAAUCAAAUCGAAGGCGUACAUCCGCGAUUUCACAUCAUCGCUUCACUACGUAUCCAUCUCAUCAAGCGAAGAAAGGUUAUCUGAUAAUGACAUACUGGAUUCCGGAUGGACCUUUCUUGCUUUCUUCUAAUGCUAGUCAUUAUGUUGAAGUUGGCUCCUUUGUAAUCAAUCAUAAAGAUGAGUGGUACAAGAAAAACAUACUACUCCAGAUCUUCUUCAUCUUUGGAAAAUACCCACUGGUUUAAUUCUUGAGAAAUUUACUGUCUCGUUCCAUACAAGUGCUAGUGGUACAAGAAAAACAUAC
This is a non-coding RNA of Salvia hispanica, 585 nucleotides long. NCBI's taxonomy places the organism in Eukaryota, Viridiplantae, Streptophyta, Magnoliopsida, Lamiales, Lamiaceae. The record is from RefSeq and is a predicted model, not a curated record.